Poecile atricapillus (Black-capped chickadee) is the source of this 710-nucleotide long non-coding RNA. RefSeq lists it as uncharacterized. The record is from RefSeq and is a predicted model, not a curated record. The transcript is spliced from 3 exons. Lineage: Eukaryota; Metazoa; Chordata; Aves; Passeriformes; Paridae.
CAGGCAGGGAGUUGAAGACAAGCUGUUGCCAAGCAGCAUUCAUGCUGAUGAACAUGAUAUUUGAAGGAGUCUUCCACACCUUCCCUGGAUUAGCAGAAAUGGCUGGGGCUUAAGAUCUUGGUCUCCUCCCUGUGCCACCUCUUGUCUGAGCUGAGGCAUCCUCCCAUGGAGAAAGGAGCUGCAAAAUCACUGGUCAACCUGUUCUCCUUCAUGCCUUGUCUAUCCUUGCUAAGAGAGGGGGUGAGACACUCCCCCCCACAAGUCAUGACUUAGGUAAACCACAGGAUCAUUUUCUUAUGGUGGCUUUAAAAAAGGAAGGUUUUACCUUCCUUUGCUUCAGCCUUUCAGUAAUCCUUUGAGAUCCUACAUGUGUUUGUGACCAUCCCUGAGCCCCAAGCUGGAAUUUUUAAAGCACUACCAGCAUCAACCCCAAGCAAAAUAAUAGAUGAGAUGAAAGCAGAAGGAAGCACCAUGUGCUCAGAGUAGAGAGCUGCAUGUGCAGGAAUUUCUUCCAGGCUUUGUGAAGUCCUCUUUGUUAGAAUAAAAUGCAGAAGAGCCAGAUGGUUUGGCCACAGUCCAGUUACCUAAGAAACAUAGCACCAGCACCCUAUCUGAAGCUAUUUCCUCUAAAGAUCACGCUCAGCCUGCUUUGUUCUAAUAACCGGCUUAAAAGUCAACAUUGAGCUGUCAGUACCUAUUUUUUCCUCCAU